CUGCGCAGGGUGGUGAUGGUCGUGGUGGUGAUAGGAGUGGCGUGUUCCCCCUCUCCUCCCCUCAGUGUCCUGGAAGCGAGUGUGCAGGGAGGGUGUGCCGCGGCUGUGCUCCCAGAGUGUCUCGGGGAGGGCCACGCGUAGCCUCACCUGGGGACGUGACAAGACUUACAACACAAGGCCCGUCAAGACACAGACAGCCACCUUACUUACGACUUUAUUCAGAAACGCCUUCCCUUCUCACUACGAUGAUAUUGCAAGCCACAUAGACAACUAGCCGGGAUUACAAGACAGUUUCUCCUUUUAGUAAACUAGAAAUCUUGCCAAUCUAUCACCAGAACCUUAAAAAUACGCUUAAAAAAACAUAUGACCUCUACUGGAACCUUGGGAAAGCAGUGAUGUGCAUUGAAUUACCAGGCUUGAACUCAUUUGUAUAACCCGAUAACCAGUAUUUCGGGAACUGAUAUGCCACAGAAAAGAAGUUAAAGACAUGCUGAGUGUGUGAUAAAGACAUACUGCUUUAAGACACUGCAACCCUGGUGCUAACUUGGUCCUGCUGAAGCCAAUCCCUUGAGACUCAGAGAAAAAAAAUGCAGAGUUACGCAGAAGACUGAGGAAAAAGGACAGUGGACGAUGAAAGAAUAUGCUAAUGUGGAGCUUGGUAUUCUUGUUAAGUUCCUGUAAAGAAAAGUUUAAAAAGGCGCCUUGCAUACUUACCGCCACAUGUAUCUAACGAGGGAGAUACAAAGACCUUGAACGCGUUAUCCCCUCUUCAUAAAUCCCACGCAGGCAGAAAGAGAAAAGAGAAAACUAAAAGAAAGAGGUGGAGGAGGAGAAGGAGGAGAAGGAGGCAAAGAAAUCGAAGCUAGACGAGUGGAAAGGAGAGAGAGAGAGAGAGAGAAAAAAAAAACAUGCUGCCCAAGUCGCUCACCUUUGAUCAGCUGGUGGGCCGCCCCUGGGGAUACACGCGUGCCCAGACCCUCAGGCAACAGGUGGGUGGAGUGACCUGGGGGAGAGAAGACCCUGGGGAGAGAUGACACAUGAGAACACGAUGCAACAUAACAUGACAGACAAAUAAGUUGAAUAUAUGAUUGUUUGAACACUAUAAAUUCCAUAACACUUCAUUACGUCAUUUCAUCCCAUUCAGUAUAUAGAAGGUACUUUAAAAGAGGGUUUUUUUUUUAAGUAGGUAGUAGUUUAAAGAAAGGUAGUUUUUGUCUCCGUGGAAGGUACAAGUGAGAAGAUGAAAAUAGGAGAAUAAAAAAAAAAAAGAUUCUUGAUAUUAAAGAUUCAAAAUUUUACAGAACGAAAUAAAGACACGUAAAUAGAUAAAGUGCGGGGAAGUGGGUCGUAAAAAAGAAAAAAAAAAAAAAAAUGGAAAAUAAUCAAGAAAAAAAAACACGACAUAAAAAUACAUUGGAAAGGAUGAAAGAGAAGAGACUCAAUUUAGAAAGACAGGAGUUGGUAGGGUCGCGUGCUGGCUCAGUGAGUGGCUGACUCGCGGCUGUUAGUUACGAGGCGCCGAAGAAACGAAGCUCAAGUUAGUCACACUCCGGGAAGAGUUUAAUGAGCCUUGCACGAGGGACUCACUAACUUUAAAGAGUUUGUGGAUGGCAUUUAGAAUCAGGAAACAGAUGAUACAGUGUCUUUUGUCAUCUCUUUCCUUCCUCCUCCUCUUUAUAUCACAUUUUCUCCUUAACUUUCUGUCUCUUCCUUCUCCCGUUUUCUCGUAGUUUCAGAGGAGGAUACAUUAGAACCUGGAGACAAAUGAUGAUGUAUUGUCUCUUCUCGUCUUCUCUUCCCCUUCCCCUUAUUCUAUAUCAUCUCCUCUCCUUAACUUUGUCUCUUCCUUCUCUCUCCCUUCUCUUUUUUUUUUCUCUUGGCUUCAGGAUGUGUUAGGAAAGCAGUUGUCUUGAUAUGUAUUGUCUUUAGUCAUCACCUCUUCCUUGUUUUCAUCGUUAUAUCAUUCUUUCUUUAAUUCUCUUCUCUCUCUCUCUCUCCCCUUUCUUUCCUUCUUCUCUCCUUUUCCGUUGGUUCCUGGAUAGGUUGAUAAAUAAGAAUCAGAAAGUAGAUGAGUUGAGUAUUGUUUAUCAUCACCUUGUUUCCUCCUCCUCUCCUCAUCACAACUUUUUUCUCUAACUUUCUCUCUCUCCCCAUUCUAUUUUCCUUCCUCCUUUUUUUUUCUCUAACUCUCUCACUCCCAUUCUAUAUUUUUUCUUUCUUUUCGCGUGAUUCCAGGAAGGGUUAAGAGAUGAUAACCCGUAAUCUUAAUACUAUACAGCCUUUCACUACUAAUUUCUUUCAUCUUUUUUUCUAUAUCACAUUUUUUUUCCUUAAUCCUUUCUAUCCCUUCCCUUCACAGUCACUUCUCCUUCUCAUCGCGGUUCCAGGGUGGGUGGGGAGAUCGUAAAAUUGAAGCAGGUCAUUGUAUUUCACUCCCAAGUUAAUUUGUGAGGCAGUAUUCCUCUCGUGCAUGAGUUACGAGGGACAGUUAGUGAAGAAUACCAUUGAUCGUGUGAUUUAUGAAUACGAACAGGAAUAUGCGAGCCAGCCAGCGAGCGAGCCAGCGACGGGGCAAGAAAGAUUGGUAAGGUAGUGGCUAGAAUAAGGAGACGGAGCUUUGAAACUUGGUUGGGUGAUGAAAUGCCAAGAGUCGGAGGAAGGAAGGGGUUUUGGAUGGUAAAUCAGGUGGUGAUGUAGAAAGACAAGAAUUUAAAAGGAAAUAAUGAAGGAAGCAGAAAAUAAGGAGUGUGAGAGGCAUUUUUCAUGUUUAAGUGAUAAAAAAAAAACUGAAGUUGAAGAGAAGUUGCUAGGAUAGAAAAAAAGGUGUUUUAAGAAUAGAUAAUAAAGUGAAAGGAGAAUAAGAAAGAAAAUAGGAGGAAAGCUUAUUAGAAAAUACAAUUGAAUAAUAUCGAAAGAGCAGUCUAUUCACGACAAAAGGGAAAAAUGAUACUAUUAAUGGGAAAAAUGGGCCAACGAUAAACUCAAACGCAGAUAUGAAUG
Molecule: long non-coding RNA, 3000 nt
Organism: Portunus trituberculatus (swimming crab)
Lineage: Eukaryota; Metazoa; Arthropoda; Malacostraca; Decapoda; Portunidae
Exons: 2
Source: RefSeq, a predicted model, not a curated record